AUUGAACGCUGGCGGCAGGCCUAACACAUGCAAGUCGAGCGAGCGGCGGACGGGUGUGUAAUGUAUGGGGCUCUGCCCGAUAGAGGGGGAUAACUACUGGAAACGGUGGCUAAUACCACAUACUAGCGGAUGGACCCCUAUGGGAUUCGCUAGUAGGUGGGGUAAAGGCUCACCUAGGCGACGAUUUCUAGCUGGGCUGAGAGGAUGAUCAGCCACACUGGAACUGAGACAUGGCCCAGACCCCUACGUGAGGCAGGAGGGGGGAAUAUUGCACAAUGGUCGCAAGCCUGAUGCAGCCAUGCCGCGUGUAUGAAGAAGGCCUUAGGGUUGUAAAGUACUGUCAGCUGGGAGGCGUUACCCGCAGAAGAAGCACCGGCUAACUCCGUGCCAGCCGCCGCGGUAAUUC
Molecule: ribosomal RNA, 406 nt
Filed under: uncultured bacterium
Lineage: Bacteria
Description: partial 16S ribosomal RNA
Rfam family: Bacterial small subunit ribosomal RNA
Source: RNAcentral